GGUCAGUGAUGAGUGUUGGCAUGUAUUAUCUGAUCUGGAGUUGAUGUCUCUCACCACUCUGGCUCUAGAAUUACUCUGAGGCCCG
Small nucleolar RNA from Tyto alba (common barn owl), 85 nucleotides. RefSeq annotates it as small nucleolar RNA SNORD45. The transcript has a single exon. The record is from RefSeq and is a predicted model, not a curated record. Lineage: Eukaryota; Metazoa; Chordata; Aves; Strigiformes; Tytonidae.